AUGAGAGACACAGAGAGAGAGAGAGAGAGGCAGAGACACAGGCAGAGGGAGAAGCAGGCUCCAUGCAGGGAGCCUGACGUGGGACUCGAUCCCAGGACUCCAGGAUCACGCCCUGGGCCAAAGGCAGAGACACAGGCUCCAUGCACCGGGAGCCCAAUGUGGGAUUCGAUCCCGGGUCUCCAGGAUCGCGCCCUGGGCCAAAGGCAGGCGCCAAACCGCUGCGCCACCCAGGGAUCCCGAGCAUCUGCCUUUGAUUGAGGUUGUGAUCCCUGGGUCCUGAGAUCGAGUCCCCCACCGGGCUCCCCGUAGGGAGCCAGCUUCUCCCUCUGCCUCUGUCUCUGCCCCUCUCUCUGUGUCUCUCAUGAAUAAAUAAAUAAAAUUUAAAAAAAUAGUCUUUAAAAAAUAAAUAAGCCCAGAAUAAAAAGAAAAUCUAUGAUAAUUUGAUUUAUGGCCCAGAGAAUUAAACACUUGUUUGAUUAUGAAACAAAAGAAUAGUAACUGCAGAUACUGGCUGGUCCUCACAGGGUCAGAGACCAGGGUGAUUAAGUUUUAGCUCUUAAAAAUGAUGGAUCAUGAAGAUUAAUAGAUAACGUGUUCUACCUUUUCCAGAACAGGGUACAGGCCAGCUUGCUAAUUACUGGAUGGGCAAAGAAAUAGAUGGCACUCAGUUCUGGAAAACAUCAUCCCUCCAACCAUUCACUCAUUCUGAAAGUUUUUGUUGACUAAACAAGUGAAGGAAUGCCAAUUAGGUGGCAUAACCACAUUCUGCAGCCAUUUAGAACACAUCUCGAAGCAGCCUUUUCCAUAUGAGAGCACCUUUGCAGAAAGCCUAUCCAGCCAUUAGGAAAAACCAGGAAAGCUAGCAGCUGCUUAAAUUUGGGCAGGCUCUGAUGAUUUAUUCUGAUGCAAUAAGCAAUAGAAUCUAAAUGAGGUAUGGGAGGCAAAGAAAUAAGGAAAGUUUGGCAUCUCCGCCUAUCCGGAAGCCUCCUCUCAUCGUUAGUGUGAGAAAAGGAAAUGGUAUUUUUAUUUUCAUUAAAAUGCAACAAGCAUCAAAGUCAGAAAAUAGAUCAUUUUUCUCAUGGCUAGAAGCAUACGGAAGCAGAUGAGUGGCUGCAUUCUGCUGGGUGUUGCUGGGGGCUUUUCUAACACAGAUCUACGACUGCUGUGAGCUCAAAGUUGCAGGGAAGAGGAGACGAGGUUGAAGACUAGGUUGGUCACUUUCCA
RNAcentral lists this long non-coding RNA (1224 nucleotides) under Canis lupus familiaris (dog). RNAcentral's name for it is "lncRNA (ENSCAFG00040004676.1)". Lineage: Eukaryota; Metazoa; Chordata; Mammalia; Carnivora; Canidae. The record is from RNAcentral.